This 523-nucleotide ribosomal RNA is filed under the name uncultured bacterium. RNAcentral describes it as "bacterial SSU rRNA". It matches the Rfam family "Bacterial small subunit ribosomal RNA", at positions 791 to 1317 of the family's 1533-position model. The record is from RNAcentral.
UAGUCCACGCCGUAAACGAUGGAUACUAGGUGUCCGGGAUAUUAACCUCCUGGGUACUACAGUUAACGCGUUAAGUAUCCCGCCUGGGGAGUACGGUCGCAAGGCUAAAACUCAAAGGAAUUGACGGGGGCCCGCACAAGCGGUGGAGUAUGUGAUUUAAUUCGAUGAUACGCGAGGAACCUUACCAGGGCUUAAAUGUAGUAUGACAGGACUAGAGAUAGUUUUUUCUUCGGACAUAUUACAAGGUGCUGCAUGGUUGUCGUCAGCUCGUGCCGUGAGGUGUCAGGUUAAGUCCUAUAACGAGCGCAACCCCUGUUGUUAGUUGCCAGCGAGUCAUGUCGGGAACUCUAACAAGACUGCCGGUGCAAACCGUAAGGAAGGUGGGAUGACGUCAAAUCAUCACGGCCCUUACGUCCUGGGCCACACACGUGCUACAAUGGUAGGUACAGAGGGCAGCCACUACGCGAGUAGAAGCGAAUCCUUAAAACCUAUCUCAGUUCGGAUCGGAGUCUGCAACUCGACU